This 383-nucleotide long non-coding RNA is filed under the name Nicotiana benthamiana. RNAcentral describes it as "long non-coding RNA (NBEN_LNC020308)". Lineage: Eukaryota; Viridiplantae; Streptophyta; Magnoliopsida; Solanales; Solanaceae. The record is from RNAcentral.
AUUAUCCAUAUCCGAGACACAUAGCCUGUCAUGGCACCGUAGCACACCAUCAUUGCUGCCGAGUGAAAAUGCUGAAAUGUUGUUGCUUAGAGCUGCCUCCUUCAAUUGUGCCAUUGCUGGAUCAAUAAACUAUUUUUCUUUAACCUCUGCCACGAGCGACGAUUCUGCUGUAUUAUGCACCAUGAGUUCCUCCUCAUAUGGGGCGGAGAUACAAACCACAAGGCUAGCCAACUGGUGUACCUCCCGAGCUCGGAGCCUCUAUUCCGCCCUCAAGUGAGCCAAGAUACCCAUGGAUUUCCGACUGAGGGCGUCGGCCACCACGUUCAUCUCUGGAUAGUACAAGAUGUCCAUAUCAUAAUCCUUAAGCAAUUCCAACCACCGCC